AGGUUCCACAAUGGUACAGGCAGCAUCACGCUGCACAAUGGUUUCCAGGCAGUGAAAGAGGGUGAUUCAGCAAGCCACUCUUCUUCUUCUAUUUUCUUUAACCUCCCCUUCACUUUUUAUUUUUAUGGGGGUGGGUGGUGCUUGCUAUAUGCUUACCUUUUUCUUUUAUUUUUUCAUUUUUACAAAUAUCCUUUUUUGUCCUCACCCCUCAAUUCCUAGGGGCUUGAGUGAGUUUAAGAUUGGGUUUUCUUGGAAAUCACCUGUCCAUCGUUAAUUUUAAACAAUCUCCAUAUCUCCAAAGAAUCUCUUCCAUAUUACAGUCUGGAAUGUGGUUAAUGAAAAACAAGUAGGGAGGAUUUCUGGGGCAAACACUGCCGGAUCAGGAUCGUAGUUCUCAGGCACGGAAUGGCUAGUGUGAGAAACACCAACGUCAGGCCCAUCUCAGAUCUUCACUAUGGCAACUCAUGCAAGAAACUGUUGAAUUAGACCCGUUUCCUAUAGAUGAGAAACCAUACAAGCUGUGGUAUUUAUGAGCCUCCAUUUCUUAUACUACUGCAGUGAACCAACAUUGGAUGUGAAAAUUGCCUUUUGUCAGGGAUUCGAUAAACAAGUGGAUGUGUCAUAUAUUGCCAAACAUUACAACAUGAGCAAAAGCAAAGUUGACAACCAGUUCUACAGUGUGGAAGUGGGAGACUCAACCUUCACAGUUCUCAAGCGCUACCAGAAUCUAAAGCCUAUUGGCUCUGGGGCUCAGGGCAUAGUUUGGUCUCAAGAAAUAGCACCAACCUGUGAGCCAAAGGAGCCAUCUUAAUGUCUUUAGGUCAUUAAUUUUAGACAUAGCAUGUUCUUUACUACAAGGCUACUUUGAGAGUCACUGUGUCACUGUUGGGCUUCUGGCAUAAAUAAAGUUAACAUAAUAUACUCAAUAAACUCUUUCACUCCUUAGCUAACUCCAACAUCAUCCAGACACUGAUGCUCAUCCAAGUUGCCGUGUAGAUUUAUAAGAAGAAUCUUGUUAAGAUAAAAUAACUAAACAUAAAUCAUACUUUAAAUUUUAUUGCCAUGAAAUGGCCAAAGGUAGGAAUGUAGCAGUAACCCCGGAAGAGCAGUCCUUGGUUCUUACUCUUUUGUCUUGGGGGAGUGACAUGUAAAAGCCUCUUCAACCAGAAGCACAGGUGCCCUUGAGCAGCAGGAGAGCAUAUCACUUAUAUCUAAAAGGGAAUAUUUUGUCAAUGAAAGUACAUGCUAAAAUAUAUUAUAUUGAUGGUCGUAAAAAUAAUGUUAUUAGAAAUUGUUUUAAACAAACAUUUUUGAAAAUGAAAAUAAAAAUACAGUUAAUAUUUUAUAACUUAUAUGAAUUGCCUAAAUCUCUUUUUAAUGAGAAGAAUAAUUACUGUGGUACAUCUCAUGUAUAUUAAUCUGUGGAAAUUUCUGAUAUUUUUCUGAAGUCAACUUUUUAAUAUGAAUUUAUUAUUCUUAAGUUUUAAUGAAACUUCUGGUAAUCUUCAAAAUUGCCUGUUAUGGUUAAUAAAUUUGAAAUAUUGACACAUUUAAUAUAUAUAACAAUAUUUUUAUUUGAAAAAUGUUCUCAAAAGGGGCUUAGGUAUCUGCUAAGAACAAAUUUUGCUAAAUUGAAAAUAUUCUUUUUAUUAAUUGAAAAUAUUCUUAAUUCUAAUGUAUUUUUGUAUUGUAAUGUAUAAGUAUUUGAGUCCAAGCUUUUUCACAGACACUGAGUUUUCCCCCCUUCAUUUGGUGUUCCAUUAUCCAAGAAAUAAUUUCAUAAUACCACACUUGCCAAAUAGAUUGCCGAAAUUUAUGGCUUUUUAAAUGGUUUGCCAAAUUUAGAUGCAGAAAAAUUAUAGGCCUUUAAAAUCAUAUUUCAAUCCUGCACAGAAUAUAAAUAUUUGGAAAUUAGAAAUUACACCAGGUCCCACAUAGAAUAUAAAUAGAUCAUAAAAUUCAGAACUUUAUCGAAAGACUGUUCUCACAAAUUAAGAUAUUCUAAAGUAUAAUUAUGGAAUUUCAAAAUGAAAUCUUAUCCUCUCUUUGAGAAUGCAUGAUUUCAUUUGAUUUGUUCAGUUAAUUUCUUUAGUCCAUUUCAGCACAUUCUUGUGGGCUUCAAGUUGCAAGUUUUGUUUAUAAUAAUAGCUAUUCCUUAAAAGUUUCAAGAGUUGAAUACUGGGAUGCUCCAUUUAUGAAAUACUAUGAUUAAACAUUUCCAAGUAAUUUUGCAAAAAAAAGCACCCAAAGUUUAGAGGACUUAUGUAUAAAAAGUUAUUUUUCAAUAGUAAGUAUGAGAAAUGCCAAGAAAAUAUGCCGAUUGCUAUUUCAAAGUAUUUUCAUUUUUUAAAUU
Molecule: small RNA, 2353 nt
Filed under: Pongo abelii (Sumatran orangutan)
Lineage: Eukaryota; Metazoa; Chordata; Mammalia; Primates; Hominidae
Description: processed transcript
Source: RNAcentral